Molecule: ribosomal RNA, 248 nt
Filed under: uncultured bacterium
Lineage: Bacteria
Description: partial small subunit ribosomal RNA
Rfam family: Bacterial small subunit ribosomal RNA
Source: RNAcentral
AGAAUCAACGCUGGCGGCGUGCCUAACACAUGCAAGUCGAACGAGAAAGGGUAGCAAUACCUGAGUAAAGUGGCGCACGGGUGAGUAACACGUGACUAACCUACCCUGGAGUGGGGGAGUAACUGAGGGGAAACCUUAGCUAAUACCGCAUAAUACCUACGGGUCAAAGGAGCAAUUCGCUUCAGGAGGGGGUCGCGGCCGAUUAGUUAGUUGGCGGGGUAAUGGCCCACCAAGACGAUGAUCGGUAU